UCUCCUGUGCCUUAAUGAACAAGGCACUGGCCUCCCAAGCCAGGACAUGUGGUUUCAAGUCCCACCUGGGGUG
RNAcentral lists this transfer RNA (73 nucleotides) under Pelodiscus sinensis (Chinese soft-shelled turtle). It matches the Rfam family "tRNA". Rfam says of the family: Transfer RNA (tRNA) molecules are approximately 80 nucleotides in length. The record is from Rfam by way of RNAcentral. Lineage: Eukaryota; Metazoa; Chordata; Testudines; Trionychidae.